Molecule: long non-coding RNA, 278 nt
Filed under: Calidris pugnax (ruff)
Lineage: Eukaryota; Metazoa; Chordata; Aves; Charadriiformes; Scolopacidae
Description: lncRNA (ENSCPUG00000015609.1)
Source: RNAcentral
CUCUCAGCCGUUUCUCGUGCAUGUCCUCGCGCUGGGGAAUGUCAUCCAGAGUGGCCAUAGGAGAGGACACAUCUCCAGAAAAGGACACAUCUCCACCAGGAAAGCUGGCGAUGGGGGAGCAGUCCACUUCCACCAGACACCUACUGCCAGGAAGAGAAAUUCUUCACAGCUCCAGUAAAACACCCAAAGCACUCCAAUUUCAGCCAAGGCUUAUACAAUAUAAUCUCCUCCACACCCCGGGUGCGUGUCAGCAGGCAGCAGUAAUGGGUAUUGUCUGA